UUAUAAGCCCUCUUUUGAUCCUUCUUAAAAAUUUCCUCUUUUGAUCCUUCUUAAAAAUUUGGGUAAUGUGUGAAAUGUUUUUCUGUUGGAACUGACGUUGAAAG
RNAcentral lists this small RNA (104 nucleotides) under Arabidopsis thaliana (thale cress). RNAcentral describes it as "ATSL011060". The record is from RNAcentral. Lineage: Eukaryota; Viridiplantae; Streptophyta; Magnoliopsida; Brassicales; Brassicaceae.